Molecule: microRNA precursor, 197 nt
Organism: Oryza sativa Japonica Group (Japanese rice)
Lineage: Eukaryota; Viridiplantae; Streptophyta; Magnoliopsida; Poales; Poaceae
Rfam family: MIR812 microRNA precursor family
Source: Rfam
AAUAAAUGCAGUUUUACACUAUUUAUGUCUAACGUUUGACCGUUCGUCUUAUUUAAAAAAAAUUUAUGAUUAAUAUUUUUGUUGUUAUUAGAUGAUAAAACAUGAAUAGUACUUUAUGUGCGACUAACUUUUUUUAAAUUUUUCAAAUAAGACAGGCGGUUAAACAUUGGACAUAGAUUCCCACGACUGCACUUAUU